Molecule: small RNA, 27 nt
Filed under: Arabidopsis thaliana (thale cress)
Lineage: Eukaryota; Viridiplantae; Streptophyta; Magnoliopsida; Brassicales; Brassicaceae
Description: ATSL004670
Source: RNAcentral
AUUGUUUGUUGUUUGUUGUUUGUUGUU